UAGAAUGUAGCUAAAAAGUAACAGCAUCUCCCUUACACUGAGAAGUCACCCGUGCGAAUCGAGUCGUUCUAA
This 72-nucleotide transfer RNA is filed under the name Anguilla mossambica (African longfin eel). RNAcentral's name for it is "tRNA-Val". It matches the Rfam family "tRNA". Rfam says of the family: Transfer RNA (tRNA) molecules are approximately 80 nucleotides in length. Lineage: Eukaryota; Metazoa; Chordata; Actinopteri; Anguilliformes; Anguillidae. The record is from RNAcentral.